CUCUGUCGGAGUCCGGUCACCGCAGACGCGAUUUCCCAGAGAUUUAGUAUUUUCGGAGGCAGUUUAUCCUCCGUGUUGCAGGUGGUAAACGCACCGCAAAACAUCAGACUUCACACCUCACCACCUCCUCUCCGCCGCCGCGUCCACCUGACGUCCUCCCUCUCCUCUCCAGGUAAAAAAUCCCACCUUUCUCCGCCGCCGCCCGGCCCCCUCUCCGCCACCCCUCCCAACCAUCUGCAUAAUCCACAGACAUCUUCUUGAUUCACAUACCAAUCGCAAGCAAAACGGUCGACGGAACUCUCAGGUCAAGCAUAUGGCUUCUCAUGUACCAAUCGACGUUGUCACGAAGGCGUUUGAUGGAAGUGGUUUCAUGCUCAUGUUACGAUUCAUCGCAAACCGAUUUGGAAAUGGCGAUGUCAUAUCGUGGGUUAACUUUGCAGGAGAAGAUCGCGAGGAGCUUUGCUUGGGCUUUAUGAUGAAGCCGACGGAAGGGGAAUCGACAAAGCUCCUUGUCGUGGAUGAACUUGUAGCUUUUCUUCCACUCGGAUGUGGCUGCGACGGAAUUCGAUAGCCAUUCCCUUCUUUUCCGAGUGCCACCAGUAGGCACAGCCACAAGCUACAGGCAGUAGUGCCAUUUGGGUUUCAGAGAAGGAAUUUUGGAAGAUUAACUGGGAGAUUUUACUUCUGCUUAUCUCAUCCAUGAAUUCUAGCAGUGACAACAUAUCUGUUAGAUUCAGUUCAUCAAGAAGCAGCAGAAGCUGUACACCUUAUUUGCAUGGCAUGGUCUUCAGUACAAGCUACAAAAAGCAAAGCCAAACUCUUCCUGAGUUCACUUCUUGUUGUGAAGGAGAGAUUAAUCUGAUAGUGAGGAGAUCAAAGCCAUAGAGCACCAGCCUCCCGAAGCAAUGGAGUCAGCUUGCCACCAAGAUGAAGCGCCAUGAUCCUAUCGGUGGAUCCAACGAGCUUUCCUCCGAUGAACACGACCGGCACCGAGGGGUUGCGGCUGAGCAGCUUGACCAGUGCCUUCUCCAUCUCUCUCCCUCUGGGGUCUUCGUCAAGCUCAUAAACAGCAGGAUUGACUCCCAGCUCGCAGAAGAGCCUCUUGAUGGUGUGGCACAUGCAGCAUGAGCUCAAGCUGAAGAUUACCACUGCCUUCUGCGAGGCCAACUUCAUCACCCUGUCCAUCCUGACACAAGCUCGGAUCAAAUGGAAUGUGGGAGCUCAGAUUCUUGUGGACUGAUCCAAAUUGUGGCUGAAGAUUGGGCAGAAUUCAGACACAGGUUUGAAGAGCGAGGAGAGGCAAUGGGGUAGAUAUGCUUUAAGAACUCAGGACUUGGUGGUUAAAGCUCCAGAAGCGUGAUGUUUUUAUAGGGCUAAAAGUGAGCCUGGGUGGUACUGUUAUUGAGCCGAAGGACUCUAAAUGCGGAAUCCUUUGGCUGGGAAAUUUUGGUGAAACACAUUGCUCAAGUAUCCUCUGACCAUUAGUUUGGAAGUAACCCUGGUUUACUGCAUAGUCUGUUGCAGGUCACUUCUCCUUGGAACAAAGUUGGAUAAAUGUAGCCA
Long non-coding RNA from Musa acuminata AAA Group (dessert banana), 1563 nucleotides. RefSeq lists it as uncharacterized. The record is from RefSeq and is a predicted model, not a curated record. Lineage: Eukaryota; Viridiplantae; Streptophyta; Magnoliopsida; Zingiberales; Musaceae. The transcript has 2 exons.